GAGUUUGAUCCUGGCUCAGGACGAACGCUGGCGGCAUGCCUAACACAUGCAAGUCGAACGGACGUAGCAAUACGUUAGUGGCGAACGGGUGAGUAACACGUGAGCAACCUACCCGAUACAACGGGAUAACACAGAGAAAUUUGUGCUAAUACCGUAUAAGACCCCGAUGUCGAGUGACAACGAGGUAAAAGCGAAUAAGCGGUAUCGGAUGGGCUCGCGCCCCAUUAGCUAGUUGGUGAGAUAACAGCUCACCAAGGCAACGAUGGGUAGCCGACUUGAGAGAGUGAUCGGCCACACUGGAACUGAGACACGGUCCAGACUCCUACGGGAGGCAGCAGUGGGGAAUAUUGGGCAAUGGAGGCAACUCUGACCCAGCAAUGCCGCGUGAGUGAAGAAGGUUUUCGGAUUGUAAAGCUCUUUGAUUAGGGACGAAGAAAGUGACGUUACCUAAAGAACAAGCUCCGGCUAACUACGUGCCAGCAGCCGCGGUAC
Molecule: ribosomal RNA, 492 nt
Filed under: uncultured Bacillota bacterium
Lineage: Bacteria; Bacillati; Bacillota
Description: bacterial SSU rRNA
Rfam family: Bacterial small subunit ribosomal RNA
Source: RNAcentral